AUUGAACGCUGGCGGCAGGCCCAACACAUGCAAGUCGAGCGGAUGAAGGGAGCUUGCUCCUGGAUUCAGCGGCGGACGGGUGAGUAAUGCCUAGGAAUCUGCCUGGUAGUGGGGGAUAACGUCCGGAAACGGGCGCUAAUACCGCAUACGUCCUGAGGGAGAAAGUGGGGGAUCUUCGGACCUCACGCCAUCAGAUGAGCCUAGGUCGGAUUAGCUAGUUGGUGGGGUAAAGGCCUACCAAGGCGACGAUCCGUAACUGGUCUGAGAGGAUGAUCAGUCACACUGGAACUGAGACACGGUCCAGACUCCUACGGGAGGCAGCAGUGGGGAAUAUUGGACAAUGGGCGAAAGCCUGAUCCAGCCAUGCCGCGUGUGUGAAGAAGGUCUUCGGAUUGUAAAGCACUUUAAGUUGGGAGGAAGGGCAGUAAGUUAAUACCUUGCUGUUUUGACGUUACCAACAGAAUAAGCACCGGCUAACUUCGUG
RNAcentral lists this ribosomal RNA (484 nucleotides) under uncultured bacterium. RNAcentral's name for it is "partial 16S ribosomal RNA". It matches the Rfam family "Bacterial small subunit ribosomal RNA", at positions 30 to 507 of the family's 1533-position model. The record is from RNAcentral.